This 223-nucleotide long non-coding RNA is filed under the name Populus trichocarpa (black cottonwood). RNAcentral's name for it is "long non-coding RNA (PTRI_LNC000246)". Lineage: Eukaryota; Viridiplantae; Streptophyta; Magnoliopsida; Malpighiales; Salicaceae. The record is from RNAcentral.
UUUUUUUGAAGAAAAAAUAUUAUGUUUCGUUGAUGCAAAGAAAAGAUAAACAAAUAUCAGAUGAUGAAAAAAAUAAGAAUCAAUUUCACAAAAAAAAUUAAAAAAGAAAUCACCAAGAGAAUGAGGACCGGAUCUAAAAAAAUCAACAAAUUUAAAAUUUUGAUUAAAUGAUAAAAUUGAAAACAAUUAAAAAUUCCAAAAGAAACAAAAAAAUAUAAGAAAA